This 402-nucleotide ribosomal RNA is filed under the name Verrucomicrobiota bacterium. Its description in RNAcentral is "Verrucomicrobia bacterium partial 16S ribosomal RNA". It matches the Rfam family "Bacterial small subunit ribosomal RNA", at positions 355 to 776 of the family's 1533-position model. Lineage: Bacteria; Pseudomonadati; Verrucomicrobiota. The record is from RNAcentral.
UGGGGAAUAUUGCACAAUGGAGGGAACUCUGAUGCAGCGACGCCGCGUGAUUUAGAAGGCCUUCGGGUUGUAAAAAUCUUUUGUAUGGGAAGAAAAUGACAGUACCAUACGAAUAAGGACCGGCUAAUUACGUGCCAGCAGCCGCGGUAAUACGUAAGGUCCGAGCGUUGUCCGGAAUCAUUGGGCGUAAAGGGUACGUAGGCGGAUAAGCAAGUUAGAAGUGAAAUCCUAUAGCUCAACUAUAGUAAGCUUUUAAAACUGCUCAUCUUGAGGUAUGGAAGGGAAAGUGGAAUUCCUAGUGUAGCGGUGAAAUGCGCAGAUAUUAGGAGGAAUACCGGUGGCGAAGGCGACUUUCUGGCCAUAAACUGACGCUGAGGUACGAAAGCGUGGGUAGCAAACAGG